This 205-nucleotide unclassified non-coding RNA is filed under the name uncultured Sebacinaceae. RNAcentral describes it as "sequence contains ITS2". The record is from RNAcentral. Lineage: Eukaryota; Fungi; Basidiomycota; Agaricomycetes; Sebacinales; Sebacinaceae.
UAAUCUCACUUCAACAACUUUAUUGUUGUUUGAAUGUGGACUUGGAUGUUGCCGUGUCAUUACGGCUCGUCUCAAAUGCCUGAGUGUACCCUGUUUUGCAGCGUAUCCAGUGUAAUAAACAUUUCACUAGAGUUGGUUGAAAGACCGCGUUUGUAAUUUGGGCUCUAUGCUUCGAACCGUCCGCUCUGUGGACAAUUUCUUGACA